This 378-nucleotide ribosomal RNA is filed under the name uncultured archaeon. RNAcentral's name for it is "bacterial SSU rRNA". It matches the Rfam family "Archaeal small subunit ribosomal RNA", at positions 474 to 851 of the family's 1478-position model. The record is from RNAcentral.
CACCGGCGGCCCGAGUGGUAGCCGUUAUUAUUGGGUUUAAAGGGUCCGUAGCCGGCCUAUUAAGUCUCUUGGGAAAUCUGGCGACUCAAUCGUCAGUCGUCCAAGAGAUACUGGUAGGCUUGGGACCGGGAGAGGUGGGAGGUACUCCAGGGGUAGGGGUGAAAUCUCGUAAUCCUUGGGGGACCACCGAUGGCGAAGGCAUCCCACCAGAACGGGUCCGACGGUGAGGGACGAAAGCUGGGGGCACGAACCGGAUUAGAUACCCGGGUAGUCCCAGCCGUAAACGAUGCUCGCUAGGUGUCAGGUGCGGUGCGACCGCAUCUGGUGCCGCAGUGAAAACUUGAAGCGAGUCACCUGGGAAGUACGGUCGCAAGGCUG